AGCAGCGGGCGAUGCUUGCGUCCGUUUCAUUCAGAGCGUGCCAAAAACGCCCAAACAGUUGAUGCACGCGAUACUCAGCGGGAAUUCGGGACACCGCACCGGAGUCGCCGACAGUUUCGGCCGUAUGGAGGCAACAAGCGCGCAAGUGUCGGGUUCUUCACUGAUUUCGAACAGAAAAUGACGAGAGGUUUGCGUCGUUUCGCGAUAGCCUUCGGCGCUGGGCUUGAAGUUGCGCACACGCCCUGAACUCCUGCGCUCCGUCGACGAAAGCCGGCAGUGCGCACGGGAAUCGGCGCUAUACGAUUCCCAUCGGUGACUGAAUCCCGGGCGACAUCGAUGCAUCACGAGCGUGGGUGCUUGCUGCGACACGAAUAGAAACAAUCGUAUGAAACAGCGUCGGAUGCACGCCAUGGUGUCCAGAAGGCUGAGCGGACGUCAGUUGGCGAGGCAAUCGAAAAGCAUUGCCCAGCUCGUGUGUGAUGCCACCGGCUAUCAUGCACGCGAGCUCUCUCUCUCUCUGUGUGACGACUCGAACGCCUCCAUUAUUCACUGGGUAUGACCAGUGCUUCGAGAGCGUCCAGCGGCCUUGUGUCGAGCGAACGUUCCCGAAAAUCGUUUCGUAAUCAGCCUGGGCAUCUUGCUGAAAAGCUGCAGACUUGCGUCCAGAAACACAAUGCAUCAGUGACCAGGAGAACGCGCACUGGAUGCUCACCCCGCAGGAACACACCGCUGUGCUUCGGGUGAGCAAUCCAUCAAGGCUGCAGCGACGUGCACCCAUCCACCGGUAACGGUAUUCCUCAACAGUAUUUGAGCGAUCAUGGGGUUCCACGAAUCAACUGUAGUGCGUAUAUCGCACCGCAGCCUGCCGUCGAUACCACGACGGCAGCAGGCUGCCUCGGAGCAGCGCGUGAGCGGCCCAAGCCUCUGACGGUGCUUUCCCUUUACCACGAACAAAGGAAUCAGACCGCAUAGGAUCUUUCGCAUCGGGAUCGAGUGCUGUUGCGGUGCACGCACCAGGCGACUUUCGGUCAAGUUCCCGUGACGAAUCCGCUUUCGCACGAUUAACGCUACAGGCAUCGCAAGCCUUAGGAUAUCACGAAAACGACGACCUGCGAACGCAGCACCGCCCAACGCUCAGCGCACACAUAGAGGUAGAGCGCUGGCCGCAGGCACGGUAUACCGCACCCUGUGCAUGCGUGUUCACUCCAAAUACUGCAGCGCAGGCUUAAGCUCAAACUGCUGAUCGAAUAGGUCGAGGUCAACUCCUAGAUUUCGUUGGACGUAGCUUCGAAUGACGUAGAGAUUAUCGGUCCAACGAUUUGCCUGUUCAAUCAGGGUCUUGGUUUCGGUUUCGCGCUGCGCCAGGACAUCAGGGUCGCACUCGAGGUAGGACUCGAGCGUUCGUUGCCGUUCACGCCAGGCCGCUUCACAAGCUGCAAGCCUCUCCAGUACGGCUGUACGCUCAACGCUGUCCUCGCGACCCGCCUGGACUUGGACCAGCUGGCGCUGUAGCGCUGUCAGUUUUUGGCGUUUCUCCGCCAGCUGCUGUUGCAGCGCAUCAAGCCGACGUUGCCUCUUGGCAACGGCUUCUGAGGGCAAACACCAGUAAAUGGUCUGGACACCGCAUUUAUCCGAGUUCACCAGAUCAUCGUCUACGAGCGACUGUAACACAUCUUUGACGGACUGGGUGAUGAUUCCUUUCAGUUUCGGGGCGAUUUUCUCCAGCUCCUUUAACGUGUAAAAAUCGCAA
RNA transcript from Cyanidioschyzon merolae strain 10D, 1750 nucleotides. RefSeq lists it as hypothetical. The transcript has a single exon. NCBI's taxonomy places the organism in Eukaryota, Rhodophyta, Bangiophyceae, Cyanidiales, Cyanidiaceae. The record is from RefSeq and is a predicted model, not a curated record.